Long non-coding RNA from Gymnodraco acuticeps, 155 nucleotides. RefSeq lists it as uncharacterized. The transcript has 3 exons. The record is from RefSeq and is a predicted model, not a curated record. Lineage: Eukaryota; Metazoa; Chordata; Actinopteri; Perciformes; Bathydraconidae.
GUGAGACAUUAACUGGCAAUGGCAUUUUCACAGUUACUCCACCUGAAAGACAUCCACCAUUUAUGAGUCCAGAUUUCAGUUACCCUGAAUUGUCCACAUUAAAUGCCAGCGACGGUCGGGACCAAGGAGGCAGGGGUCAUUUCACACAAUUAAUG